Molecule: long non-coding RNA, 232 nt
Filed under: Phaseolus vulgaris (common bean)
Lineage: Eukaryota; Viridiplantae; Streptophyta; Magnoliopsida; Fabales; Fabaceae
Description: long non-coding RNA (PVUL_LNC005304)
Source: RNAcentral
UAAACUUUUGCUAAUACAAAAACUUAAUUAAAAAAGAAACUAAAAAAUAGGCAAAUGGCUGCACUCGAGCGCACGACACAAGGGUGGGUUGGGUGGUUAGUAAGCGGAAGCGGCGCUUGACCACUAAGCCGAAGAGUAUAAUGAGUUGCAUCUGUGCAAAUAACAUCUAAUAUAUUAUUCAAAAGUACAUAUUAUAAAAGAAAAAUCGACCAACCCAACCAAUCAUACACUC